GCGCACCAGUGCGAAUAGUCUACAAUGGACGAAAGUCUGAUAGUGCGACGCCGUGUGUGCGAUUAAUUCCUUCGGGAUGUAAAGCACUUUUCUAUGAGAUAAAAGCUCUUUAGGUUAAUAGCUUAUUGAGACGGAUAUUAUUAUAGGAAUAAGCUCCGGCUAACUCCGUGCCAGCAGCCGCGGUAAUACGGAAGGAGCGAGCGUUGUCCGGAUUUACUAGGCGUAAAGGGCUAGUAGGCGACUAAUUAAGUUAUAUGUUAAAUCCCACGGCUCAACUGUGGUCCUGCAUGUAAUACUGGUUAGAUAGAGUACUGUAGAGGAAGGCAGAAUUCCUGGAGUAGCGGUGGAAUGCGCAGAUAUCAGGAAGAAUACCAAAAGCGAAGGCAGCCUUCUGGGCAGUUACUGACGCUGAAUAGCGAAGGUGUGGUAGCGAACAGGAUUAGAUACCCUGUAGUCU
Molecule: ribosomal RNA, 457 nt
Filed under: uncultured microorganism
Description: bacterial SSU rRNA
Rfam family: Bacterial small subunit ribosomal RNA
Source: RNAcentral